This 459-nucleotide ribosomal RNA is filed under the name uncultured bacterium. RNAcentral's name for it is "partial 16S ribosomal RNA". It matches the Rfam family "Bacterial small subunit ribosomal RNA", at positions 338 to 795 of the family's 1533-position model. The record is from RNAcentral.
CCUACGGGUGGCAGCAGUGAGGAAUAUUGGUCAAUGGGCGCGAUCCUGAACCAGCCAAGUCGCGUGAGGGAAGACGGCCCUAUGGAUUGUAAACCUCUUUUGUCGGGGAGCAAAACACGCUACGCGUCGCGUUCUGCGUGUACCCGAAGAAAAAGCAUCGGCUAACUCCGUGCCAGCAGCCGCGGUAAUACGGAGGAUGCGAGCGUUAUCCGGAUUUAUUGGGUUUAAAGGGUGCGUAGGCGGAAGAUCAAGUCAGCGGUAAAAUUGCGAGGCUCAACCCCUUCGAGCCGUUGAAACUGGUGUUCUUGAGUGCGCGAGAAGUAUGCGGAAUGCGUGGUGUAGCGGUGAAAUGCAUAGAUAUCACGCAGAACUCCGAUUGCGAAGGCAGCUUACCGGCGCGCAACUGACGCUGAUGCACGAAAGUGUGGGUAUCGAACAGGAUUAGAUACCCCAGUAGUC